RNAcentral lists this ribosomal RNA (253 nucleotides) under uncultured bacterium. Its description in RNAcentral is "partial 16S ribosomal RNA". It matches the Rfam family "Bacterial small subunit ribosomal RNA", at positions 524 to 776 of the family's 1533-position model. The record is from RNAcentral.
UACGUAGGGUGCGAGCGUUAAUCGGAAUUACUGGGCGUAAAGGGCUCGUAGGCGGCCAACUAAGUCAGACGUGAAAUCCCUCGGCUUAACCGGGGAACUGCGUCUGAUACUGGAUGGCUGGAGUUUGGGAGAGGGAUGCGGAAUUCCAGGUGUAGCGGUGAAAUGCGUAGAUAUCUGGAGGAACACCGGUGGCGAAGGCGGCGUUCUGGACUGCUACUGACACUGAUGAACGAAAGCCAGGGGAGCAAACGGG